UGGGGAAUAUUGCACAAUGGGCGCAAGCCUGAUGCAGCCAUGCCGCGUGUGUGAAGAAGGCCUUCGGGUUGUAAAGCACUUUCAGCGAGGAGGAAGGGUAGUGUGUUAAUAGCACAUUGCAUUGACGUUACUCGCAGAAGAAGCACCGGCUAACUCCGUGCCAGCAGCCGCGGUAAUACGGAGGGUGCAAGCGUUAAUCGGAAUUACUGGGCGUAAAGCGCACGCAGGCGGUUUGUUAAGUCAGAUGUGAAAUCCCCGCGCUUAACGUGGGAACUGCAUUUGAAACUGGCAAGCUAGAGUCUUGUAGAGGGGGGUAGAAUUCCAGGUGUAGCGGUGAAAUGCGUAGAGAUCUGGAGGAAUACCGGUGGCGAAGGCGGCCCCCUGGACAAAGACUGACGCUCAGGUGCGAAAGCGUGGGGAGCAAAUA
Molecule: ribosomal RNA, 427 nt
Filed under: uncultured bacterium
Lineage: Bacteria
Description: partial 16S ribosomal RNA
Rfam family: Bacterial small subunit ribosomal RNA
Source: RNAcentral